UGGUGGAGUGAUUUGUCUGGUUAAUUCCGUUAACGAACGAGACCUCGACCUGCUAAAUAGAAGUUCAAAGGUUUUCCUUUGGGCUGACUUCUUAGAGGGACUAUCGGUGUGUAGCCGAUGGAAGUUCGAGGCAAUAACA
This 139-nucleotide ribosomal RNA is filed under the name uncultured eukaryote. RNAcentral describes it as "partial 18S ribosomal RNA". It matches the Rfam family "Eukaryotic small subunit ribosomal RNA", at positions 1299 to 1458 of the family's 1831-position model. The record is from RNAcentral.